Molecule: non-coding RNA, 456 nt
Organism: Peromyscus californicus insignis
Lineage: Eukaryota; Metazoa; Chordata; Mammalia; Rodentia; Cricetidae
Source: the annotation of a RefSeq genome assembly
AUGAGGGUCCCCACUCAGCUUCUGGGGUUGCUGCUGCUCUGGCUUACAGGUGCCAGAUGUGACAUCCAGAUGACCCAGACUCCAGCCUCCCUGACUGAAUCUCUGGGAGAUAGUGCCUCAAUAACUUGCCAAGCAAGUGAGGACAUUUACAAUGAUUUAGCAUGGUAUCAGCAAAAACCAGGGAAACCUCCUAAGCUCCUGAUCUAUAAUGCAAACAGCUUGGAAGAUGGGAUCCCAUCGAGGUUCAGUGGCAGUGGAUCUGUCACACAGUUUUCUCUCAAUAUCAGCAGCCUGCAGCCUGAAGAUUUUGCAACUUACUACUGUCAUCAGGGUUGGAGGACCCCAUCCACAGUGAUUCAAGCCAUGACACAAACCACACAGAGAAGCAGAAGUGAGAAGUCAGGCUGCACCAAUUGCUCCUUCAGUGUUUUCCAGUUACUGAUAAUGUUCUCUUAG